This 493-nucleotide long non-coding RNA is filed under the name Elaeis guineensis (African oil palm). Its description in RNAcentral is "long non-coding RNA (EGUI_LNC077415)". Lineage: Eukaryota; Viridiplantae; Streptophyta; Magnoliopsida; Arecales; Arecaceae. The record is from RNAcentral.
CCCCCCUGAAUUCUGCGCACGACCGUCCUCAGAAAUCCUGACAUUUAAUAUGCGCGUGCCGGAGUCUUUUCAAAUCAGGGCGAUCCGAAGAGACUUUUCGAAAUUUUUGCUGGAGCAUUGCUCUAGGUACGGUGCAAUAAUGGCUAUGCCAGCUGUCAGCCGCUUUUAGCCGCCUGCUGUGGCGAGUGGGACACGUGGCGAACAUGGGUCGGCCUGGGGAGAUCUGCGAUCAUUAUAGCGCCGGAUCCCAGUGUCUAUUUAAACCCGCCCUUCUGCCUCCAGGAGUUUCAUUCUGCCUGAAAGUCCUGUUGGUUCCCGCCUUCUCUCCGAGAGCUCUGACCUUCCUUGGUGUCCGUUUUGGCCCUAGGUGUUCUUCGAGUCAUCCCUGUCCCUGCACCUCUGCAUCCUUCGGAGCGACUUAGGUUAGUUUCGAAACUUUCAUUCCUUCUCUUGCCAUGUAGGUGCUCCUUCUUCUCCAUUUUUCUUCUGCCGC